RNAcentral lists this ribosomal RNA (397 nucleotides) under uncultured bacterium. RNAcentral describes it as "partial 16S ribosomal RNA". It matches the Rfam family "Bacterial small subunit ribosomal RNA", at positions 523 to 918 of the family's 1533-position model. The record is from RNAcentral.
AUACGUAGGGGGCGAGCGUUGUCCGGAAUGAUUGGGCGUAAAGGGCGCGUAGGCGGCGCGGUAAGUCUGGAGUGAAAGUCCUGCUUUCAAGGUGGGAAUUGCUUUGGAUACUGCCGCGCUUGAGUGCAGGAGAGGUUAUCGGAAUUCCCGGUGUAGCGGUGAAAUGCGUAGAGAUCGGGAGGAACACCAGUGGCGAAGGCGGGUAACUGGACUGCAACUGACGCUGAGGCGCGAAAGUGUGGGGAGCAAACAGGAUUAGAUACCCUGGUAGUCCACACUGUAAACGAUGAAUGCUAGGUGUAAGAGGUAUCGACCCCUUGUGUGCCGGAGUCAACACAAUAAGCAUUCCGCCUGGGGAGUACGGCCGCAAGGUUGAAACUCAAAGGAAUUGACGGGG